This 384-nucleotide ribosomal RNA is filed under the name Aeromonas hydrophila. RNAcentral's name for it is "bacterial SSU rRNA". It matches the Rfam family "Bacterial small subunit ribosomal RNA", at positions 72 to 456 of the family's 1533-position model. Lineage: Bacteria; Pseudomonadati; Pseudomonadota; Gammaproteobacteria; Aeromonadales; Aeromonadaceae. The record is from RNAcentral.
AAAGUAGCUUGCUACUUUUGCCGGCGAGCGGCGGACGGGUGAGUAAUGCCUGGGGAUCUGCCCAGUCGAGGGGGAUAACAGUUGGAAACGACUGCUAAUACCGCAACCCCCUACGGGGGAAAGGAGGGGACCUUCGGGCCUUUCGCGAUGGGAUGAACCCGGGUGGGAUUAGCUUGUUGGUGGGGUAAUGGCUCACCGGGGCCACUAUCCCUAGCUGGUCUGAGAGGAUGAUCACCCACACUGGAGCUGACACCCGGUCCACACUCCUACGGGAGGCCGCAGUGGGGAAUAUUGCACAAUGGGGGAAACCCUGAUGCACCCGUGCCGCGUGUGUGAAGAAGGCCUUCGGGUUGUAAAGCACUUUCAGCGAGGAGGAAAGGUUGG